GACGAACGCUGGCGGCGUGCUUAACACAUGCAAGUCGAACGGAAAGGCCCUGCUCUUGUGGGUUGCUCGAGUGGCGAACGGGUGAGUAACACGUGUGUAACCUGCCCUUGACUUUGGGAUAACUUCAGGAAACUGGGGCUAAUACCGGAUAGGAUCUCCUGCUGCAUGGUGGGGGUUGGAAAGUUUCGGCGGUUGGGGAUGGACUCGCGGCUUAUGAGCUUGUUGGUGGGGUAGUGGCUUACCAAGGCUUUGACGGGUAGCCGGCCUGAGAGGGUGACCGGCCACAAUGGGACUGAGAUACGGCCCAGACUCCUACGGGAGGCAGCAGUGGGGAAUAUUGCACAAUGGGCGGAAGCCUGAUGCAGCAACGCCGCGUGCGGGAUGACGGCCUUCGGGUUGUAAACCGCUUUCGCCUGUGACGAAGCGUGAGUGACGGUAAUGGGUAAAGAAGCACCGGCUAACUACGUG
Molecule: ribosomal RNA, 468 nt
Filed under: uncultured bacterium
Lineage: Bacteria
Description: partial 16S ribosomal RNA
Rfam family: Bacterial small subunit ribosomal RNA
Source: RNAcentral